Long non-coding RNA from Solanum pennellii, 993 nucleotides. RefSeq lists it as uncharacterized. NCBI's taxonomy places the organism in Eukaryota, Viridiplantae, Streptophyta, Magnoliopsida, Solanales, Solanaceae. The transcript is spliced from 5 exons. The record is from RefSeq and is a predicted model, not a curated record.
AGAAAAUGUUUUGGCCUCAUUUGAGACGCAUGUUCUGAAACUGAUAAAAGUCAUCUUGUUCAUCAAAACUUGAAGCUAUCAUUGGAAGCAAUUGUUCAACAAAGAUACUUGCACAAAGAGAAAGAUAAUGAUCCAAAAGGUAAUGCAAGGUUUUAUGAACUCGCUGAGAGGUCGCUAGAUGGGCUAAUUAAUGAUGGAAAGAAAGAGCAUAUAUCAAAGAAAAGAAAGUGGCAUCCAGUUGUUUCUGAGAAGGCAAAGGCAAAGUGCAACGUGAUUCGAUCAUAUUCCUAAUAUGUUCAUGGACGUUUUGCGAAGAUUAUUCACCCAUUGUGUACCCAUUGCCAAGUCUAUUAUCACUCAUGAUUUGCUUCACAUUUCUCACACCAAAUAGUCAAUUGCGGAGAACUCAACAAAAAUCAUCCCAACAAUUACUUAGAAGUCUCCUGCAUCUUGUUCGCCAUCAUGCAACAAUUAGUUGAAGCCCUGAAGCGGGAAAAUCAACAAGCCUGUUGUUGCCUAGGUUAGCGAAACUUGUGCUUGACUUUUCGAGUCGGAAGUAUAGUUUGGACAUGCGGGUGCAAAGAGUGGUGGCGAAAUAGAGUCUGCACAAUCUAAGAAUCAAGCACUUAGAGAUGCUGGAGCUACGGUCUGUGGGGUUCAUCCCCAUGUAGCAAACUUUGAAUAGCUCUCUGUCAAUUUCAAAGUUUGGCAGAUUUGGUGCUGAAUUAUGUUUCAGCUUUACUUAAUUUUCAACUAAAAUCUUACCAAGAAAUCUUCAUAGGUGAAAAGGUUGAAACUUUGUGUUUUUUUGUGAUGUCACUGGUGACAUCAUUAGGAGUAGAUUUUCCUACAAAUACAGAGCUCUUGCUCAUUUCAAAAUGCACCAAAAAGAAUUACAAAGGAGAGAAAAGAAGAGUGAGGCAUCAAAUAGGAAAAUAAUUUGUGAGGAAAAAUAGAGAGUGUGAGCGAUAUUGUAGUGAGGUGGAAAAAUCA